Molecule: ribosomal RNA, 306 nt
Filed under: uncultured Glomeromycotina
Lineage: Eukaryota; Fungi; Glomeromycota
Description: partial large subunit ribosomal RNA
Rfam family: Eukaryotic large subunit ribosomal RNA
Source: RNAcentral
CUAUGGAGUAAAUUUUCCUAAGGGUAAAAAACGGCGGGGGACCGAUAGCGACCAAAGUACCGUGAGGGAAAGAUGAAAAGAACUUUGAAAAGAGAGUUAAACAGUACGUGAAAUUCGUUGAAAGGGAAACGAUUGAAGCCAGUCGUACCUUCGGGUAAUCAGCCUUUCGGGUGCGAUUCUGUGGAGUUUGAGGAGCUUAACACCUUCAUGCUUUGCAUUUUUGGUGCUUUUGGGGGUACUUGCCCGGGGGGUUGGUUAACACCAUUUUUGGGGGCCAAAAAAGGACGGGAGGAGGUGCUUCAUAAA